This is a long non-coding RNA of Hyla sarda, 1401 nucleotides long. RefSeq lists it as uncharacterized. The transcript is spliced from 3 exons. NCBI's taxonomy places the organism in Eukaryota, Metazoa, Chordata, Amphibia, Anura, Hylidae. The record is from RefSeq and is a predicted model, not a curated record.
UGCAUUUGAGUCAAUAGCGUAAAUGUAAAAAAAUAUCAAACACCAGAAUUGCUGAUUUUCGGUCACUUCAAAACAGAAAAAAACAGAAAUGCCGCCUGGAGCUUGGACCUCAGGGAUGCUCCUGGGCGAUGGCUCUUGGGGGGCCUUGUUGCCGGGGGGAACCCUGGUGGAUCGACGCCGGCUGGACGGUGAUGGCGUGUGUUCGUGGCUGCGCCACCAUGCUGCAGACGUCACACGUGACCCAGAAACCGGAACUAUAAAGACUACUUCCUCCUGCGCCGUCAGUGACUUCCAGCGUGUCCGUAGACCUGACCUGUACACAACAAGGACUGGAGGGGAUUUUCUGAAAGGGAAAUAUCUCUCCUUCCUACGGCCGAGAUAGGCCUUCCUAUCCUCACGGGACAUAUUUGGCAACUUAUAACAUCUGAAAUGCCUCCAAAAACUCAACAACAAAGGAAAUCAGGUGGUGGAACCUGUGGCGUGGAACAAGGAGCAGGCAAUAAAAUAGAUAAAUGAUUGAAAUCUUCAGUGACAACCGCUAAAACCAGAGCUCAAAAACAAUAUUUUGCCACCCCUAUGGAUUCAAUGCAGUAUUGGAGGAGGAGGGGCAGCAGGAGUCAGACGCAGAGCAACACACUGGAUUCCCACCCCCCUCAACUAUUGGGAGAAAUUUUGAUGGAAGUCCAGUGCUGCAAUAAGAGCCUGUGGAACUUCAGCGACAAAUGGGGUCGGUAUCAACAGACAUUUCUUUAAUCUGGGAUAACAUGAAUAAAGUGCGAGAAAGAGUAACUGAUAUGGAGGUCACCGUUCCUAAUCUCGCACAGGAGGUCAAGUCCUUAGCUAAAUCGUCUAGGUCCCAAAGAAAAUACCCUGAUAAUCUGAUUAAGAAAGUCACAGACCUUGAGGACAGGUCCAGGAGGUCCAACAUUCGUAUUAUUGGUUUCCAGGAAGGGAUUGAGCAGGAUGAUGCUGUCACCUUUUGCUCAAGAUGGAUAUUUGAGACCAUUGGUCUACAACACCUAACACAAUUUUUCUCUAUUGAAAGAGCAUACAGAGUUCCACUGAAACCACUACCACCAGGCUCCCACCAAGGACAAUGAUUAUUAAAACCGUCAACUCCAGAGAUAGAGAUAUUAUCUUGUGUAAAGAAUGAGAGAUCGGGGAUAUCCGGUACAGUGGGCAAAGAAUUGCAUUGUACCCCGAUUUCUCUCGCAAAACGCAGCUGGCUAGAGACAGCUUUAAGGAGGUUAAGAAACAUUUGGGGCAGGCAAAGAUUCAAUAUUCUUGUUAUUUCCACAUAGGUUGAGGAUUAUCCAUGAGGGGAAAGUGUUAUUUUUUCAUUCAGUGCAAGAAGUUAUGAACUAGAUAGAAUCACGGGCAUGGUAAGUUAAAUAAAGUGAG